RNAcentral lists this long non-coding RNA (4486 nucleotides) under Sus scrofa (pig). RNAcentral's name for it is "lncRNA (ENSSSCG00025028526.1)". Lineage: Eukaryota; Metazoa; Chordata; Mammalia; Artiodactyla; Suidae. The record is from RNAcentral.
UUUUUUUUUUUUUUUCGGAAUGAUGGAGAACUGAAGUUAGUUUUUGUUUUUUUUUUUAAAAAAUGAAUGUUGAACAAAUGUUUCCUCCAUAACUGAUCCAUUAUGGCUGGCCAUUUUAUGACUUUAAGAUUUGCCAAUGAAAGUGAAAAUCAGACUCAAAUACAAUGAAGAGACUGUGCCAUGGAGUCCACGGCGCAGGUGGAGGUGUGGAGUGAUUGCGUAUUUCAUGGAGUCAGGCUUGAUCAUUUUGGACAGUGACUGAGCAGUCCUAGUGCAGAGUGUUUGGGUGGGAGAGACCUGUAGGCCAUAUUUCAAGGAAAAGAUUCCAGAAAUUUAAAUUGAGGAGUUGGUUCUAUUUUUAUUUCACUUAAGCAUGCCUGGUUUCCUAUCUCUUGUGCUAUGAACAAAGGCUGCUAAUUUUCCCAAUUAAAAUGGAAAAUGCUCAGGGUGGCUUUAUGAGGCCCCAAAUAAUUGGAUAUGUAUUCUCCUCCUGGUGGAGUCCUGCCCACAUUUACUCAAAUACCUAGAAUGUAUUGUCCACGACCUACUACACACCGGACUUUUAGGUACACUGGAGAUGUUUGACUGAAUUUUGAGGAAGAUGCUAUCAUUUUGUGUCCAAAGUUGGAGAGCAAGCAGGAAUCAUUCUGGAUAUAUCAUUUCCUGUAUCUGCACUUCAUCUAUUGAUUGUAUUUCUUUUGCUGAUAUUCAUUCUACCAGAUAAACCAGCAGUUCCCAAACAUUUUGGUCUGAGUAUCAUUUUAUACUCUUAAAAAUGUUUGAGAACUUGUUCAUGUGGUUUCAUCUAUUGAUAUUUACCAUAUUAGAAAUUAAGAUUGGAAAAUUUUUUUUGGCUAUGCCUGUGACAUGUGAAAGUUCCUGGGCCAAGGAUCAAACUCACACAACAGCAGUGACCUGAGCCACAGCAGUGACAAUGCUGGAUUCUUAGCCUGCUAAGCUAUUGGGGAACUCCAAGAUUGGUAAAUUUUUAAAAUAGUUUUCAAAUUAUUAUGAAAUAGCAUUGAUAAAUUCAUUACAUGAUAACAUAAAUAACACAUUCUAAUCAACAUAUCUAUAUUGCCUCAAACAAAAAUAUUUUGUAAGAAAAAUGGCAUUGUUAUACAUUUUUUGCAAAUCUCUUUUAAUACAUGGUUUAAUGAAAGAUUCCUCAUUCAAUCUAUUGUGACAUCACAUGUCAUACAACUUCUAGAAAUCUUCACAUACCAUCAUGAAAUAAUGACAGUAAAAGAGGCAAGAUCAAUUUAGAAUUAUGCUCUUUCAGUAGCAUAACUUUGACAUCUUGGCUCCUCUGAAAGGGAGGAGUCUAUGGGGUCCUGGGCAAUUCUUUGAGAACUGCUAAGAUAAACAAACCUGAAUAAAAUGAUGAUUGGCUUAAAUACCUUACCUUGUUCAAAACCCUAUUAAGAGUCUUGACUGGUUCCACCUUCUUCAGAAAUUAGUUUAAUGGUCACCACUUAAGAGAGGGUUUCUCUGGCAAUUCUCUCUGAGGUAAGCAUUCCUCACUUUCAGUGUUCUGGAGUUUAGUACCCAGUUUUUCUGUUGUUGUUUUUUGUUGAACUGAUUUUAAUUUGUAAUCAAAUUGUAAUUUGACUUUUUGACUUGGCUGUCUCCCUCACAAGACUAUAAACUUUUUGAGUUUUCCUGUCUUGUCUGCUAUUCUAUCCCUCAAGUGUAGUGCUGUGCCUAGUGCAGCGUUGAUAUCCAAUAAUUAUUUGCUGACUUAAUUAGUGAAUAAAAUAGUGGUUAGUUUUGUUUUUAUCACUUUCCUUUUGGCCUUCAGUCCUUAUACUGAGAUGAUCAGUGGACACAGAAGAGUUGUGGUAAGCACAUUUUAAUUAAUUCAUUCAAAUAAACAAUGUUUCUUGAGUGCCUCUCAUGCGCUGGUCAAGUUCACAGGAUAAAAAGGUGAGUAGGUACCCAUCCCCAGUCAUAGCCCUGUAUAAUGAGGAAUACCAAAAGAGGAAUCUUUAGCUGAAUCCUGAACAGAAAAUGUAGUUGCCAUGAGGAGAGAAGCAAGUCAGUCUCCAAGAUGAGUGAAAGCCUGAUACACUGAAAGAACUGCAAGGAAGUCAGUUUGAAUGAGUCAUUUCGAUUGCAAGAAGAUUGUAGGGGAGAAUAAGGAGAAAAAUGAGAUGUGUGGUGAGAGGCAUGUAGAUCCCAGGAUCCCAGAGACCUUGGGUACAAUAUUAAGGAGUCUGGGCUUUAACUUAAAGGCUGACCUUUAUGUGGAUGCAUCAAACCCAUCAACAACAGAAAGUUUGUAGGCUCAUAGACAUGUCCACCAAGCACAGAGCCAGGGACUCCACGUUGCCUUUUGCUAUGCAGACCCACAUCCCAGGACGGCUCAUCGAACUCUCAGCCAUAUUCACUCAUAUUUAUCUAAGCCUUUGAUUUUAUGAGACAGCACUGAUACCAGUCUUCUAAUUGAAAGAAGUUAUUCUGCUAAACAAAACAUUAGUAGGAAGUCAUGUGGUACUACUAAUUCUGAAGUAGAUACUAAUUAUUUUGCCAGUGCAUAUUUCUUAUUGACAAAGAAACAGAAAUUCUAAAGAGAAUAUUCAUAAAUGAAAUCCGGAAAUAUAUAAAAGAAAGCAAGUUUGCAAAGAAUUUAUUUAUUUUUAUUUUUAAUUUUAAUUUUUUUUAUGGCUGUGGCUGUGGCAUAUGGAAGUUCCCAGGCUAGGGGUCGAAUUGGAGCUGCACCUGCUGGCUUACACUACAGCAACAGCAAUGUAGGAUCUGAAGGGUGUCUGCAACCUACACCAUAGCUCACAGCAACGCCAGAUCCUUAACCCACUGAGUGAGGCCAGGGCUUGAAUGCACAUCCUCAUGGAUACUAGUUGGGUUUGUUAUUGCUGAGCCACAACAGGAACUCCAUAGCAAAGGAUUUAUAACAUUUCUGCACAGAUAAUUUUUAAAAAUUACUGAGACAAAGUUUAAAAUACCUAAAUAAAUGAAGGGGCAACCAUUUUUAAGGAGGAAAAGGCUCAUUAUCAUUAAAAUGUGAAUUCUCCCUAAAGUUAAAAAUCUCAGAUACUUUUUUGUGGAAAUUGACAACUUGAUUCUAAAAUUUAUAUGGAAGUACAAAUGACCAAGAUUAGCAAAGGUACUCUUGAAGAACAGGUCCUAUAUAGGCAUUUAUUAAGACCACAUUAACUAAAAUAGUAUUGAUGCAGAGAUGGACAAGAAUAGAAUCCAGAAACAAACCAUAUAAAUAAGUAUAUACAACUAAUUAGCCACUUCAAUGAAGUGUAAAACAAGAUUCAUUUAUUUUAAAGCUGCAGGAUACAAAAGUAAUACACAGAAACCUGUUGCAUUUCUACACAAUGAAUUAUCAGAAUACACAUUCUACUAACAAUGAAUUAUCAGAAGGCUAAAUAAGGGAAACAACAACAUUUACCAUUGCAUAAAAAACAAUAAAAUCCCUAGAAAUAACCUACCUAAGGAGGUAAAAGAGCUGUAUUUGGAAAAUUUUAAGACACUAAUGUAAGAACUCAAAGAUGACACAAACGGUUAUGAAAAUAUACCAUGUUCAUGGAUUGGAAAAAUUAAUAUAGUUAAAAUGACCAGUGGAAUGCUAUUCAGCCAUAAAAAGAAUGAAAUUUUGCCAUUUGCAACAGCAUUUCAACUUGGAGGGUAUUAUGGUAAGUGAAAUAAGUCUGACAGAGAAAGACAAAUAUUGUAUGAUAACAUUUAUAUAUGGAAUCUAAAAAAUAAAACAAACCAGUGAAUAUAAAAAAAAGGAGAGACUCGCAGAUACAGAGAACAAACUAGUGGUUACCAGUGGGGAGAGGAAAGCAGAGAGGGGCAAGAUAGGGAUAGGGGAUUACAAGGUACAAACUAUUAUGUAUAAAAUAAAAAUAAAAAAGCCACAAUGAUUAUAUUGUACAACAUAGGGAAUAUAACCAAUAAUUUCUAAUAAUUAUAAAUGGAAUAUAACCUUUAAAAAUUGUGAAUCACCAUGCUGUACACCUGUAACUUAUAUAAUACUUAGUACAUAAUAUACUUAUAUACUAUAGUAUAGUAUAUAAUAUAUAAUAUAAUACAUCAACUAUAUCUCAAUUUAAAAGUGUAAAAAAGUUUAGGAGUUGCCAUCGUGGUGCAGCAGAAAGGAAUCCGACUAGGAACCAUGAGGUUGUGGGUUUGAUCCCUGGCCUUGCUUGGUGGAUUAAGGAUCCGGGGUUGCCAUGAGCUGUGGUGUAGGUGGCAGACGUGGCUCGGGUCUGGUGUCACAGUGGCUGUGGCGUAGGCCUGCAGCUGUAGCUCUGAUUUGACCCCUAGCCUGGGAACUUCUAUAUCUCACGGCAACGCCGGAUCGUUAACCCACUGAGCAAGGGCAGGGACCGAACCCGCAACCUCAUGGUUCCUAGUCGGAUUCGUUAACCACUGCGCCACGACGGGAACUCCAGAAUAAUAAAUGAAUCUUAAUCUCUAGGUUACACCAUCCACAAAAAUCAAUUCCAGAAGC